UCUCUUGGGCACUGGUAACCUCAGCCAGAACGGAGUCAGUCUCCCAACCUGGCUCCUUCCAGCUGCAGGGCCUGUGUGUGGACAGGGAGGUUUGUUCUCAGCUCUGUCAACAGGGGCCCGUUGGAAGUCACCACACCUUAGACAGUCUUGCCAAGGUCCCUGUAGGGGGGUGAGCAUGGAGAAGUGGCUGGCAAUGGUCAGGGGACAGGGUGGGCUCCAUCCAGGGACAUUUGUUCAGCCAAGAUCAGGGUGUCUCACCAUAAUCGGGACAGAUGAAGAGGCGUCUUUGGGGUGGGAAUCUUGUGUUUGUAAGAUCCCGAACACUCUAUUUGAAAACACAGCCAGUUGCCAUUUGACAUCCUUGGAGACUCCAGCUCAGCCACUCAGCUUGCAUAUUUAUGCAAAACAAAAUGCAAAUGAGCCCAUUGAACCCUUUGUCUAUGUCCUGCCAAGCUGGAAACCUGGGUCUCCCAACAGAGUCCCCCCCCCCACGCCUUUGUCCUCUCCAGAAGAGCUUUUCUAAGUAGGACAUGGAGUCUCUAAAAUUUUGCUACUUCAGUGAAAUUCAAACCAAUAAACAUGUUUCCUGAGCUCCUAUUAAGCGCAAAGUACCCUGUUAGACUUUAGUGAGUUUGCAAAGAAGAAAAAAUUCUCAAGUUAUGGCCCUUGAAGAAAUCGUGACAUCUUUAAUGAGACUUCCAGUUCUGUUUCUCGUGUAAUUAUUCAUUCAACAAACACCUAUGGAGUACCUGCUAUGGGCCAGCCCGAGGGAUACGACAUUGAGCAACUAUAUGAAGGUUCCUUGCCUUGUGAGCUUACAUCUAAUGAAGGAGACAGACCAAAGGAGGUAGUUCGACAUACAAGAACAACAUCAUCCCAGACUCUGAUAACUAACUGCUGGGAAGAAAAUGAACAGGGAUGUUUUAUUGUGUCAGAAAGGUGGCCUUGUUCGAUUAAAAUCAAGGUACUGUUCAAUAAGUCUUGAAUGGAUUUUCUCUGGCUGUGGACAGUGUAGUGUACUCCGGGGAUCACUAUUGUCCUGGUCACGUGAUUCUUCAAUGUCAGUCAAGCGCACCAAAGGGACAGCCUACAAAUUCGGUGAAGACUUUGAGCCCUUGAGGGAAUCUCAAGUCCAUUGGCUCAGAAUUUGUGAGACUGGCGCGUUUGCUCACGGGUAAAGUCAUCCGCGUGAUGUCCAAGAUACUUCUAUUGUGUCCCUGAUUCUGAUUAAAGAGCCAAUGCACUGCGUUCA
This is a non-coding RNA of Ictidomys tridecemlineatus (thirteen-lined ground squirrel), 1252 nucleotides long. NCBI's taxonomy places the organism in Eukaryota, Metazoa, Chordata, Mammalia, Rodentia, Sciuridae. The record is from RefSeq and is a predicted model, not a curated record.